This 252-nucleotide ribosomal RNA is filed under the name uncultured bacterium. Its description in RNAcentral is "partial 16S ribosomal RNA". It matches the Rfam family "Bacterial small subunit ribosomal RNA", at positions 524 to 776 of the family's 1533-position model. The record is from RNAcentral.
UACGAGGGUGCGAGCGUUGUCCGGAAUCACUGGGCGUAAAGGGCGCGUAGGCGGCGCGGGAAGUCAUCGGUGAAAGUUCAGGGCUCAACUCUGAAUCGGCCGGUGAUACUCUCGUGCUUGAGCACUGUAGAGGCAGGUGGAAUUCCGGGUGUAGCGGUGGAAUGCGUAGAGAUCCGGAAGAACACCGGUGGCGAAGGCGGCCUGCUGGGCAGUAGCUGACGCUGAUGCGCGACAGCGUGGGGAGCAAACAGG